UACAUUUUAGUAUAUGUGUAUAAAAGUUUUUGAUACUUUUGGGAAUAGAGAAGUCUAUUAAAUGUAA
RNAcentral lists this transfer RNA (67 nucleotides) under Pissodes strobi. RNAcentral's name for it is "tRNA-Gln". The record is from RNAcentral. Lineage: Eukaryota; Metazoa; Arthropoda; Insecta; Coleoptera; Curculionidae.